CGGGAAGAUUCAAAAUCGCGAACUGUUACUGCAUGGAUUACUCUCGGUCUCUUUGUUUGCUCAUCGACAUUACGAGGUCAUGUACACUGUGGUCAACUUUGUGGACGAUGAAGAGGUUUCUGGGUAAAGAUGAUAGAAAUAUAACGAAGUAACAGUGGAAGCUAAAACAUCAGACUGAUCUAGACACUGAAGAAAUUGAUGUCACUGCAAUCUGGCCAAAAUGAUACAACAAUAUUGAACUAGCCUACUGUAAUGAAGCUGCAGAACAACACAGAGACUCUGAGGACAUCAACACAGAAAAUGAAGGCUCCAAAGAGAUGUCUGUCCAGAUGAGGGUGCCUCAACUUUACCUUUGCUGACAACAGUUAACUUAACUCAAACCAUUUAAGGAAAUCGGUUGCCUUAAACCAUUAAGUUUUAAAAAACAUACAUUUGAGUACUGUGAACUUAAGUCUUGUGCAAUUAUGCACUUAUAUUUAGGUAGUGUGAACUUAAAUAUAAGUGCAUAACUGCAUGUGACUCAAUUUUUUUAAGUUCACAGUACUCAAAUCUAUGUGUUUUAAAACUUGAAUGGUUUAAUGCAACCGGUUUUCUUAUAUGUGAGAAAUGACAGUGUUACAGUGAGAAAUGUUUGAUUAAUUCCAAGACAGAGCUCUGCUAUUGAAUCUACACUGCAAAAAAUCACUUUCUAACUUAGGAUUUUUAUCUUGUUUUCAGUAGAAAAACUAAAAAUUCUUAAAUCAAGAUGUAUUUUCUUGAUGAGCAAAAUUACCUUAGAAAAUAUGUGUAGUUUUUAGACAAAAAUAUACAAUUUAAGUAACAGUGCACAGUGGAGUGAGAAAAUUGUGCUUAAAUUAAGUUUUUAUGAAAAAAGAAAACGUAAGAUUUUUUUUCUCACACCAUUGGCAGAUAUUUUUGCUUGUUUUAAGCACAAAUUCACUUAAAGUGUGUGUGUGUGUGUUUAUUUAUUUUGUCUAAAACUAGACUUAUUUUCUUAGGUCAUUUUGUUCAUCAAGAAAAAGCAUUUUAAUUUAAAUAAUAUUUCUACUGAAAACAAGACAAUAAUACUAUGUAAGAGUCAUUUUUUGCAGUGUAGGACUGAUUUCUUAAAGCAAGAUCAAUAUAGUUGUUGUUCAUUUUAUUUAGAUAUUUACUACAUUACAGUGGCAGCUGGUGACUUGUUUUUUGUGAGCACUUGAUGCGAAGUUUGUCACAACAUGUAUACAGCCCGUCAUUUGUGUGGUUCCCAAUUUCAAAAUAUGUGUUCUGCGUGUCGAGUGCGUGUAUGUGCAUCACGUGUUUUGACUAAACACGUGAUGCACAUGGUUUACAUGAAGCAACAAAAACAUUUUAAAAACACAAGCAACACACAUGAGACUCCGAACACUUAUUUUGAAUUUGCAACCGCCACUGCUACAUUACAUUGUACUGCUUUGAAUGUAGUUUUCAUUGUUGCUUUUAUUUUGUUUUAUUUUACUCUAAUAUUGCUUUCUCUGUCUGUAUAUUUAUAAGUUUAAAUAGUAUUGUUUAUGUA
Molecule: long non-coding RNA, 1534 nt
Organism: Paramisgurnus dabryanus
Lineage: Eukaryota; Metazoa; Chordata; Actinopteri; Cypriniformes; Cobitidae
Source: RefSeq, a predicted model, not a curated record